Molecule: non-coding RNA, 117 nt
Organism: Clostridium botulinum B
Lineage: Bacteria; Bacillati; Bacillota; Clostridia; Eubacteriales; Clostridiaceae
Source: Rfam
UCUGGUGAUGACGGCGUAGAGGUAACACUCCUCUCCAUUCCGAACAGGAAAGUUAAGGUCUACAGCGCUGAUGGUACUGCACGGGAGACUGUGUGGGAGAAUAAGACGUUGCCAGGU